RNAcentral lists this ribosomal RNA (254 nucleotides) under uncultured bacterium. Its description in RNAcentral is "partial small subunit ribosomal RNA". It matches the Rfam family "Bacterial small subunit ribosomal RNA", at positions 26 to 285 of the family's 1533-position model. The record is from RNAcentral.
AGGACGAACGCUGGCGGCGUGCUUAACGCAUGCAAGUCGAGCGGAAAGGCCCUUCGGGGUACUCGAGCGGCGAACGGGUGAGUAACACGUGAGUAAUCUGCCCCUAGCUCUGGGAUAGCUCCGGGAAACCGGGAUUAAUACCAGAUACGACCACUUUAGACAUCUGCUGUGGUGGAAAGAAUUUCGGCUAGGGAUGAGCUCGCGGCCUAUCAGCUUGUUGGUGAGGUAACGGCUCACCAAGGCGACGACGGGUA